GCCAUCGUAGUGUAGUGGUCAGCAUGCUCGGCGCGUAUUCGAGAGGUCCGUGGUUCGAGUCCCGGCUAGGGCG
Molecule: non-coding RNA, 73 nt
Organism: Stegodyphus mimosarum
Lineage: Eukaryota; Metazoa; Arthropoda; Arachnida; Araneae; Eresidae
Source: Rfam